CAGCAGCCGCGGUAAUACGUAGGGGGCGAGCGUUGUCCGGAAUUAUUGGGCGUAAAGCGCGCGCAGGCGGUCCUUUAAGUCUGAUGUGAAAGCCCACGGCUCAACCGUGGAGGGUCAUUGGAAACUGGGGGACUUGAGUGCAGGAGAGGAGAGCGGAAUUCCACGUGUAGCGGUGAAAUGCGUAGAGAUGUGGAGGAACACCAGUGGCGAAGGCGGCUCUCUGGCCUGUAACUGACGCUGAGGCGCGAAAGCGUGGGGAGCAAACAGGAUUAGAUACCCUGGUAGUCCACGCCGUAAACGAUGAGUGCUAAGUGUUAGAGGGGUCACACCCUUUAGUGCUGUAGCUAACGCGAUAAGCACUCCGCCUGGGGAGUACGGCCGCAAGGCUGAAACUUAAAGGAAUUGGCGGG
Molecule: ribosomal RNA, 410 nt
Filed under: uncultured microorganism
Description: bacterial SSU rRNA
Rfam family: Bacterial small subunit ribosomal RNA
Source: RNAcentral